AUGAGGUUUUGGGGAUAUGAUUUUAAAUUUAAAAAAUUAAAAAAUAAAUAUUAAAAUUUUCAUAAUAAAAAUGAACUAUUUUGGUCAUUUUUUUCUGAGAACGAUUUUUGUGAUAAAAACUUCAAAGUGUUAUUAUAGAGAAUUGCCAAAAACAAAAAAAUAUAUUUCUACCUUUUGCAGUGUUUAUAUGAGUAGCACAAACAAACAAAUCAUGUUCGUACGUAUUAAAUGGGCCAAAUUAAAGUUGGGCAGAGAAAAAAAAAAGAAAAAGG
Molecule: long non-coding RNA, 272 nt
Filed under: Brassica napus (rape)
Lineage: Eukaryota; Viridiplantae; Streptophyta; Magnoliopsida; Brassicales; Brassicaceae
Description: long non-coding RNA (BNAP_LNC005360)
Source: RNAcentral